AAAUAGAACUUUGCAGAGAGAGUUAAGAGGGCGUGAACCGUUAAUUGGCAAACGAAUCGGAGCCACGAAGUCGUUUCGCUGAUAGUUAGGCUGAGUUCAGUGUUUAUGUUGCUGUACAAGUAACGUAAAUAUGUAUUCUCUAGGUUUAACCAUCCUUGUAAGCGUACACUGCAACUAGUUAGACGAUUGUUGAUGGGCCCAGUGGGCAAGGCUUUAACGCAAGUUAUCGCCUUGUUUUACGAAGCAUUUGUUUGUUAUAAGAGGUAAUAGUAUAACUUUGUGAAUGCGAAUGUUUAUGCUGUUGGCUUAUAAUAAGUGAACUAUUAACAAAUACUGACUAGCAAAAUGAAAAUCACCUUCGCAUGAAGUGUGUUGUAUAGACAAGGCGUUGGCAGCGUAUACUGUUACACAGUUGGCGCGUUAGUUUUAAAGUCCAGUAUUUUUGAAUUUAGACUUGCUUGCUAUCAAUGGGGCAACUCUUGGUGCUUGUAUAGCUUCUAUCUAAUCGGAUACUGACUUGGCUUGCGAUUGUUUAACUGUGAAUCGUUUGAUGGUAUACGUUAGUUAAUUGCAAUUUGAAUUGGCAGUGAGUAGGUCGGCUUUCCGAACGACCCGUCUUGAAACACGGACCAAGGAGUCUAAUUAGGCAUCGAGUCGAUCGGUCUUGAUAGGCCAGCUUGUGAGCAAAAUGUUAAAGUUUUGCUGAUCAGAAGGCGUAGAGAAAUCAAAUUUCAUGUGAUCUUGUAACAAAUACCCAUGUUACUAGCGCAACAUGUGCCUGCUCGUAUGCCAUUGUUGCAACGUAAAGUUAAGAUUAACACUUUUAGCUGUUGUUAACAUGGUGAGCGGAGUAAAGAGAUGCUUGACUGGUACCCGAAAGAUGGUGAACUAUGCUUGGGCAAAUUGAAGCCAGAGGAAACUCUGGUGGAGGAUUGUAGCGAUUCUGACGUGCAAAUCGAUCGUCAGACCUGAGUAUAGGGGCGAAAGACUAAUCGAACCAUC
RNAcentral lists this ribosomal RNA (1002 nucleotides) under Nothopoda sp. 28sd2-5r9. Its description in RNAcentral is "partial 28S ribosomal RNA". It matches the Rfam family "Eukaryotic large subunit ribosomal RNA", at positions 366 to 944 of the family's 3401-position model. Lineage: Eukaryota; Metazoa; Arthropoda; Arachnida; Trombidiformes; Eriophyidae. The record is from RNAcentral.